This 1728-nucleotide ribosomal RNA is filed under the name Pseudomonas aeruginosa. Its description in RNAcentral is "partial 23S ribosomal RNA". It matches the Rfam family "Bacterial large subunit ribosomal RNA", at positions 1218 to 2925 of the family's 2925-position model. RNAcentral also lists the same sequence under 1 other name. The record is from RNAcentral. Lineage: Bacteria; Pseudomonadati; Pseudomonadota; Gammaproteobacteria; Pseudomonadales; Pseudomonadaceae.
AAGUGACGCGGUAGAGGAGCGUUCUGUAAGCCUGUGAAGGUGAGUUGAGAAGCUUGCUGGAGGUAUCAGAAGUGCGAAUGCUGACAUGAGUAACGACAAUGGGUGUGAAAAACACCCACGCCGAAAGACCAAGGGUUCCUGCGCAACGUUAAUCGACGCAGGGUUAGUCGGUUCCUAAGGCGAGGCUGAAAAGCGUAGUCGAUGGGAAACAGGUUAAUAUUCCUGUACUUCUGGUUACUGCGAUGGAGGGACGGAGAAGGCUAGGCCAGCUUGGCGUUGGUUGUCCAAGUUUAAGGUGGUAGGCUGAAAUCUUAGGUAAAUCCGGGGUUUCAAGGCCGAGAGCUGAUGACGAGUCGUCUUUUAGAUGACGAAGUGGUUGAUGCCAUGCUUCCAAGAAAAGCUUCUAAGCUUCAGGUAACCAGGAACCGUACCCCAAACCGACACAGGUGGUCGGGUAGAGAAUACCAAGGCGCUUGAGAGAACUCGGGUGAAGGAACUAGGCAAAAUGGCACCGUAACUUCGGGAGAAGGUGCGCCGGCUAGGGUGAAGGAUUUACUCCGUAAGCUCUGGCUGGUCGAAGAUACCAGGCCGCUGCGACUGUUUAUUAAAAACACAGCACUCUGCAAACACGAAAGUGGACGUAUAGGGUGUGACGCCUGCCCGGUGCCGGAAGGUUAAUUGAUGGGGUUAGCGCAAGCGAAGCUCUUGAUCGAAGCCCCGGUAAACGGCGGCCGUAACUAUAACGGUCCUAAGGUAGCGAAAUUCCUUGUCGGGUAAGUUCCGACCUGCACGAAUGGCGUAACGAUGGCGGCGCUGUCUCCACCCGAGACUCAGUGAAAUUGAAAUCGCUGUGAAGAUGCAGUGUAUCCGCGGCUAGACGGAAAGACCCCGUGAACCUUUACUGUAGCUUUGCACUGGACUUUGAGCCUGCUUGUGUAGGAUAGGUGGGAGGCUUUGAAGCGUGGACGCCAGUUCGCGUGGAGCCAUCCUUGAAAUACCACCCUGGCAUGCUUGAGGUUCUAACUCUGGUCCGUGAUCCGGAUCGAGGACAGUGUAUGGUGGGCAGUUUGACUGGGGCGGUCUCCUCCUAAAGAGUAACGGAGGAGUACGAAGGUGCGCUCAGACCGGUCGGAAAUCGGUCGCAGAGUAUAAAGGCAAAAGCGCGCUUGACUGCGAGACAGACACGUCGAGCAGGUACGAAAGUAGGUCUUAGUGAUCCGGUGGUUCUGUAUGGAAGGGCCAUCGCUCAACGGAUAAAAGGUACUCCGGGGAUAACAGGCUGAUACCGCCCAAGAGUUCAUAUCGACGGCGGUGUUUGGCACCUCGAUGUCGGCUCAUCACAUCCUGGGGCUGAAGCCGGUCCCAAGGGUAUGGCUGUUCGCCAUUUAAAGUGGUACGCGAGCUGGGUUUAGAACGUCGUGAGACAGUUCGGUCCCUAUCUGCCGUGGACGUUUGAGAUUUGAGAGGGGCUGCUCCUAGUACGAGAGGACCGGAGUGGACGAACCUCUGGUGUUCCGGUUGUCACGCCAGUGGCAUUGCCGGGUAGCUAUGUUCGGAAAAGAUAACCGCUGAAAGCAUCUAAGCGGGAAACUUGCCUCAAGAUGAGAUCUCACUGGGAACUUGAUUCCCCUGAAGGGCCGUCGAAGACUACGACGUUGAUAGGCUGGGUGUGUAAGCGUUGUGAGGCGUUGAGCUAACCAGUACUAAUUGCCCGUGAGGCUUGACCAU